GAAGAUUCGUUCAUCUUCCUCAAGAAAAACAGGACCAUUCUCUCGACCUCAGCCACUCUCUCAACCUCUCUCUAAAUGUGAAACCGUGGCUUCAAAAUAAACCAACAAGAACGCUCACCUUUGUAGCUUGUUCUUCAGGAAGCUCUUCUUUGAUAUGAACCUUCUGCUCCCACGAACUCUUACACUUUGUCAAUCGCUGGUGGAGGAGGAGGCGGCUUUUUCGGUGGAAAAUCACCAGGGUUUUUUCGCUACAGUAGCCUUCCAAUUUUCUAGGGUUUUUCUCCUUCCCCGCUGUCUCACCUUCUCUCUCCCUCCCCAACAGUAUCCGCCCCCUCCUUUUAUACUCACCAUCCUAGGGUUUCUGAUUUAGCUAUAGAGAUCAAAAGGGUAUCCCUUUGGAAGUCCUUUAGGGUGCUCACAACUUGUUUGUCUCAUUUGGUAUUUGAUCUGGAACAGCGAAACGCGAGCAAAUGAAUGGAAAGUGAGUCUUCGCAAUUCAUUGAGGUUCGGUGUUGCUUACGACGAAUGCAGAUGUGGACAUAAUCGCAGCAGCAGCAACUAAUUCUAACAAAACGCAUCAGCCAUAUUGCUUAAGAGGAAGCCUUGAUUCGGAAGCUGGUUGAUAAGCAGAGUUUCUAUUUGGCAUGGGCAUUAUGUAUACGCUUGAAGAACCUAUAGUCAUCGGAGGAGGCAAUUCCCUAGUGCCAAUUAGGAAACAGUUUAUCUUGGCUUGGCAUUGUAGAUGGGGUUAACAGACUAUAGAUUAAAUUCCAUGUCAGAUAUUUGACACAUGAGCGAGAUCAGCGUGCGACACUAUCUGCCCAGUUUGACGGUUGUAUCUGAGAGGUCAUUUGAUUUGAAGCACAACUGAACCAUGCAUCCCAAACAGAACCAACAUGCCAUAGAAGACUCUUGACACUGAAUGAAUGAUCUUAUUCUCGCUCUUCUUCCUUUCCAAGUACUGAUUCUUGUUGAUCUAGUUUUGAUAGUGACCAUUGUGAUUUGGUUUAAUUUUGCAGGGCCACAAUUGUGUUUGUUAUAGUGACCAAGCGUGUUGGAAUGCAUCAAGACCCCUUCAUCAUUAGGUUUAAAAUUCUGGAUAGGCUGCAAUGUCUCUGGAUGGUAUUUUGUAAGUCAUGCGCACAUGGAAUAGAUUGUUGGAUAAGGCUCUCGCUUGCAACUGCCGGAGAAUCAAACAAACUACUUUUGAAACAAGGACUAAUGACGGCUGCGUGUCGGUGUUUGAAUGUCUUAUUUUUUGUCCUUGCUGCUGAUAUUGUUGUGGUUAAUAUCGUGCAAGAGGUUUGUUGGAAGAAAAUGAAUCAGUUGUUGAAUCAAAGGCUGGAACUCUGGGGAGAGAAGCUUAUCAGCCUCGUCCAUAACCAACAUUGAGCAAUGCUUAAGAAUGCAAACACCCUUCUUAGUAAGAUCCAGUAUCCUUCCUGGGGUACCGACAAGCAGGAACGCAAAAUGCAGCUGUUAUUAUACAUGAUAAUGGAUGAUAGAACUGCAAAAAGGGUUGCAUCUGUUGCCUCUUCAAGUGCCAGGCUUCUAGUAGCACCAGCAGCCAUUUCUUGAGAGAGGAUUGACGCCGGUGAGUUUGCAUUGCAGGAGGUCCAAGUGAUGGAAGCGGUAACUUCUUGGUCUCUAACCACCCUUCAUGUGCAUUGCUGAGUCGGUCACACACACAUGGACAGAUUUAGCAUUAAGGCUCCCACUUGCAACUGUGGAAUUGUCUUGGAAUGAAUGAAGAGAAAGACUAAGAUCCUGUGUCGAGCUGUUUGUUCUUGAGAUUAUACAAGAAGAGUAGCUUUGAAAAUUCAUCGAAUUACCAACAGAACUCGUCGGAAAAACGCGAAAGCAUCAUUGUCAAUACUUUAUUGAAUGAAACCUGAAUGAGUAUGGUUCUGCUGCAAAUUAUAACCAGAAGAUUAUGAAUUUUCCGCCUUUAAGUUGUUUCCCGAAUAUAGGUAUCUGUGUAAGAUGUUGUUACAUGAUCAGGCAUUGGCACCAAUACUUGCAUCACAAAAUAUUUGGCAAAAGAUAUCCUCAGCCUUGUCAAGUUUACCAACUUUCACCAAAGAAUCCAAAUAUAUACUGUAUAUGUCACUAUUAGGACGACAUUUCUCUAGGCAUUGAGAGAACGCCUCUUCCAAUUUAUCAUGUGAUUCCAAGUUGAAGUACAUGUUUAAUAAAUAAACAUAUGAUGGUGUAAGGGGCUUCAGACCACUAUUGACAAAUUCUGUCAUGAUUGAUUCUGCAAAUUCGGAUUCUUGUGCUUUGCACAGUAUUUCUAUUAUUUUAUUUUAUGCUGGCACACUUGUCUUACCUAGUUUCAACUGCAUUUCCCUAAAUACCUCCAAGGACUUCAUAGGCACGCCAACCUUAGAGUAGACUUCCAUUUUGUACACAAAAGCCUGUGAUGGGGGGUUACUUUCAAACUGCAAAAGUUUGGACCAAGUUUUCUCUGCUUCCUCCAUUGAUUUUGAACAAAUCAUUGUUCAACUCUACAAAUCAAGCACGGGUAAGUGGCUCAGAGAAAUCAACUCCAUCAAAAAGUGAUUCAAUUUCCACACGGAUCUCGUGCUGGCUACUAGGAGCUUUCUUGGCACGCUCACUCUCCCUUCUCAGCUUUCCAAGCUUUAUUAUGAUCGAAGUUGGCAAUUUCCUCCUUGUAAUUAAAACUUAA
Lathyrus oleraceus (garden pea) is the source of this 2689-nucleotide long non-coding RNA. RefSeq lists it as uncharacterized. The record is from RefSeq and is a predicted model, not a curated record. NCBI's taxonomy places the organism in Eukaryota, Viridiplantae, Streptophyta, Magnoliopsida, Fabales, Fabaceae. The transcript is spliced from 8 exons.